Molecule: RNase P RNA, 308 nt
Filed under: Olleya namhaensis
Lineage: Bacteria; Pseudomonadati; Bacteroidota; Flavobacteriia; Flavobacteriales; Flavobacteriaceae
Also listed under: 2 other names
Description: Bacterial RNase P class A
Rfam family: Bacterial RNase P class A
About the family: Ribonuclease P (RNase P) is a ubiquitous endoribonuclease, found in archaea, bacteria and eukarya as well as chloroplasts and mitochondria. Its best characterised activity is the generation of mature 5'-ends of tRNAs by cleaving the 5'-leader elements of precursor-tRNAs.
Source: Rfam by way of RNAcentral
UCAGUAAAUUGCCUUAUCGCUUUAAAUUUAUUUUAAAGAGGAAAGUCCGGACACCGUAGUGUAAUCAUAGUGGUUAACAGCCAUCCGCCGAGAGGUGAGGAAAAGUGCAACAGAAAGAAUGUACAGGUCAUGCUGUAGUGAAACCAGGUAAACUCUAUGAGGUGCAAUACCAUGUAUACUAACGUUUGAGCGUACACGCGCGAUUGUUAGAGGGUAGGUAGCUAAAGCGUGUUGGUAACAGCAAGCUCAGAUAAAUGAUAGGGGCUUCUUAGGAAGUACAAAAUCCGGCUUAUAGAUUUACUUACUUA